CAACGCCGCAUGAGGGACGACGGCCUUCGGGUUGUAAACCUCUUUUAGUAGGGAAGAAGCGAAAGUGACGGUACCUGCAGAAAAAAGCACCGGCUAACUACGUGC
This 105-nucleotide ribosomal RNA is filed under the name uncultured bacterium. Its description in RNAcentral is "partial 16S ribosomal RNA". It matches the Rfam family "Bacterial small subunit ribosomal RNA", at positions 392 to 508 of the family's 1533-position model. The record is from RNAcentral.